CCCACCUGCCUGCGCUUGGUCAAUAUCCCUCCAAACCUGUCCUAUCCAUGUACCUGUCUGACUGUUUCUUAAACGUUGCGAUAGUCGCAGCUUCAACUACAUCUUCUGGCAGUUUGUUCCAUACACCCACCACU
This is a long non-coding RNA of Amblyraja radiata (thorny skate), 134 nucleotides long. RefSeq lists it as uncharacterized. The record is from RefSeq and is a predicted model, not a curated record. NCBI's taxonomy places the organism in Eukaryota, Metazoa, Chordata, Chondrichthyes, Rajiformes, Rajidae. The transcript has 3 exons.